GCCGGAGUGGCGACUGCACGGUGGACGAAAAAGAGGGGUUUUCCGGGUUGUCAGUCCCACCCACACCGUAGGCAAUCGUCUCUGUUCCAACCGCCACACCUCGUGUUCACUCAAGGAUAGCGAGAAUUUUGUCGAUGACGGGAUUCAAAUUGAGCCUUUCAACCUAGAUAAAGAAACGGAAGAAGGUUAUUUUCAUGCAGCAGCCAAUUUUGUUGAAUAUGUAAGAGAGAAUGAGAUUAAGCGAUGGUGUGCAGAACAUGCAGAAGUGUAAACAAAAUGGAGGGCCCCACAUGGCUUUAUCUGACAGAGAAGCAAAAGAGUGAUGGAAGAAAUUCAUUAAAGGUUGCUAAUGGGAGACAACAGCAUGGCAACCUGGCUGGAAACGCACGAGGCAGCACCAGAACGAGACUUGAGAAUUUGGCUUUAAAAGAGUGAGAGGCCGUGAGUGAGAGGGUUACGCUUGGGAGGAGGCUCUCGGUUCUUCUCCUCCAAGUUCAGUAGAUUAGUUUUGAACUCUAGAUAAUGUAAUGUAGUGAGAUUGUUGUAU
Long non-coding RNA from Vigna angularis (adzuki bean), 547 nucleotides. RefSeq lists it as uncharacterized. The transcript has 3 exons. NCBI's taxonomy places the organism in Eukaryota, Viridiplantae, Streptophyta, Magnoliopsida, Fabales, Fabaceae. The record is from RefSeq and is a predicted model, not a curated record.